This 477-nucleotide ribosomal RNA is filed under the name uncultured organism. RNAcentral describes it as "partial 16S ribosomal RNA". It matches the Rfam family "Bacterial small subunit ribosomal RNA", at positions 332 to 800 of the family's 1533-position model. The record is from RNAcentral.
UACACUCCUGCGGGAGGCAGCAGUGGGGAAUUUUGGACAAUGGGCGAAAGCCUGAUCCAGCCAUGCCGCGUGCAGGAUGAAGGCCUUCGGGUUGUAAACUGCUUUUGUACGGAACGAAACGGCCUUUUCUAAUAAAGAGGGCUAAUGACGGUACCGUAAGAAUAAGCACCGGCUAACUACGUGCCAGCAGCCGCGGUAAUACGUAGGGUGCAAGCGUUAAUCGGAAUUACUGGGCGUAAAGCGUGCGCAGGCGGUUAUGUAAGACAGUUGUGAAAUCCCCGGGCUCAACCUGGGAACUGCAUCUGUGACUGCAUAGCUAGAGUACGGUAGAGGGGGAUGGAAUUCCGCGUGUAGCAGUGAAAUGCGUAGAUAUGCGGAGGAACACCGAUGGCGAAGGCAAUCCCCUGGACCUGUACUGACGCUCAUGCACGAAAGCGUGGGGAGCAAACAGGAUUAGAUACCCGGGUAGUCCCAUGA